This is a small nuclear RNA of Myotis myotis, 106 nucleotides long. NCBI's taxonomy places the organism in Eukaryota, Metazoa, Chordata, Mammalia, Chiroptera, Vespertilionidae. The record is from RefSeq and is a predicted model, not a curated record.
GUCCUCACUUCAGCAGCACAUAUACUAAAAUUGGAAUGAUGCAGAGACAAUUAGCAUGACCCUGCACAAGGAUGACAUGCAAACUCAUGAAGUGUUCUGUAUUUUU